CGGUGGAUAUCUGAGUCGCGAAGCCGCUCCAGCGCAUCGUGUGCCCAUUGCCAGUCUCCGCCGCCUCAGCAUCUAUCGAGAUCUGGAUCGCUACGUCGCCUACCUCAUGUUCCUGAUCGAGGUUCGAAGAACACUGCCCAG
This 141-nucleotide non-coding RNA is filed under the name uncultured Mamiellales. Lineage: Eukaryota; Viridiplantae; Chlorophyta; Mamiellophyceae; Mamiellales. The record is from RNAcentral.